Molecule: RNA transcript, 966 nt
Organism: Mus caroli (Ryukyu mouse)
Lineage: Eukaryota; Metazoa; Chordata; Mammalia; Rodentia; Muridae
Gene: Izumo2
Gene name: IZUMO family member 2
Source: RefSeq, a predicted model, not a curated record
AUGCCUUUGGCCUUGGCCCUGGUGCUUUUGUGUGGCCUGGGCGGCCCCGGGGCAUGGGGCUGCCUGCAGUGCGACCAGUCAGUGCUACUGGAGCUCAGGCAGUUGCGUGAGGCCAUCGUCACCAAGCGCUUCCAUCUGGAAGGGCUGCAGGCGCGCGCUCAGGCCCUGCUGUUGAGCAUGGAGGGGCCUUUCUUCAGGGACUAUGCAGUGAACGCUUUCGUGGGGAAAGUGGUCGUGGAUCAACUGGAAAAAGUGGCAACAUCCUUCAAGAACCAAGCCCAGUAUAUAAAGGCUAACUCUAAGACAGAUGUUCCCCUGCUGGAAGAGCUGGUGAGCUUCAGGGAACAUGCCAUCAAGGAACUAAAGAGAGCAUUGAGAGACUAUGAAAUGAAAGCCUGUGACCACAAAGCUUGCCUUCUUGGGGUUUGCUUUUCUCCACGUCUCCCUCUCACCCUGCCCAGACUCGUUCAAAGCGGAGGUCCUGGACUGUUUAUAUUGCAAGAAAACCACGCCCAAGUGCAUCAAGAAAAAAUACUGCUUUGUUGUGCUCUACAUCCAGAUGUGCCCGCAGCAGGAAGGGAGAGAGACUCUGAGCUUUGAAUGGACUUUUUGAAUCCUCAAAACCCACCUCCAGUGACACACUCCUCGAAGGAUGCCACACCUCCUAGUCCUUUCAAACAGUGCCACUCUGUGGUGACCGAGUAUUUUUUGAGCCUGUGGGGACCAUUCUCACUCAGACACCACGGUCUUUAAGAAAGAACCACGGCUACCUGCUUCUCCCACACAGUCCGCGUAGCUCUAAGGACACUGUCUCCUCUCACCACAAUGGUCUCUUGAUAACAGAGAAGUUCCCUGUGUGUGCGUGUGGCCUGUGGGAACAUGUGGCCGUGGAGAGGAAGACGCACCAGAGGAUGGGCAGUUCCGCAUGACUCUGAAAUUCCAGGACGACAACAAACCAAGGAACAU